Long non-coding RNA from Musca domestica (house fly), 1817 nucleotides. RefSeq lists it as uncharacterized. The transcript is spliced from 2 exons. NCBI's taxonomy places the organism in Eukaryota, Metazoa, Arthropoda, Insecta, Diptera, Muscidae. The record is from RefSeq and is a predicted model, not a curated record.
CAAAUGGCCAAUAUCGGUCCAAAUGACCUGGAUUCUGGCACAUCCCACCAAAUUCAGGCAAGAAGUAAGUACAUCAAAUUUGUUUGAAGAUCGGUUCAGAUAUAGUUAUAGCUCUCAUAUAUAUGUUUCAUCCGACUUGGGGUUUUAAGUCCCUCACAUUCGUAUUAUGUCAUCAGAUACAGCACAGAAAUACCUCUGGCACAUCCGACUUGAAGCAAGUAUCUCAAUCGAAAAUCGAUUCAGACUUGGAUAUGCCUCCCAUAUAUUAGUUCCCUCUGAAACCAAAUUAUAACUGCUCUAAAGCGAUAGGUUGAUAGGUGGUAUGAUCUUCUUCAAAUAAAUUCAUUUUUUACGAGAACUAUACUAAAUAUGCAUGCAGGUUAUCGUAUAUCAGGCCCGACUUACUUUUGACAUUUCCUUUUUGGGUUUUCUUUGAAAAACUCCAAAAGGUAUUCCAGCAGAAGAAGUAUAUAAAUAUCGUUUUUCCUUAGAAUAUCUACAUCUUUUUCAAGUCUUCUGUAAAGGGCAAAACUUUCAUAGAUCGUCUUCUUUAGAAUGAAGAUCACAACGGGGCAUUUAAAAAUAUAAAACACUUUUUAGUAUUUUUGAAUAGAGGCCAUUUAUGAAAUGUUGUGAUAGGUUUCACAGGUCCAUAUUAAUAAAAGAACCGUUAAAAAUCUUUUUUAAAUACCACACUUCGCUGACAGCAUCAAAUUUCAACAAAUUUAUAUUACACAAAAUAUUUCUUCAUUAAAUAAAAAUUAAUUUCAAUUCAUAUUUUUUUGUAAAACAAAUUAAAGCUUAUUCUAUUUUCUAUAAAUAACACUAGGAUAAUGAUAACAAUAGUUAAUAUAUAUUUAUAUUUAGAAUAUAUAAAUUGCACCUUAGGCAAAAAAAAAAAAAUAGUUCAAAAAAAUAAAACGCACAAAAAUGAAUGGGGGUCUGAGCCCUGUUUUGAAAUCUGGAGAAGAUUGAUUACAGAAUUCGUAUUCAUAUUAACAUUUUGAGGGUAGAUAUAUAAUGAAAGUAAAUAAUAUGCGUCCAACAGUCAUUGUUUAAGUUUCAUGUGUACAUUUGUUUAUUAUACACAUUUAAAUUUUAAAAUCCUUUUUUUUAAUUUUUAAAUCCCUUUUUCAUAGCAAAAUAUUGAUACUUAAUUUUACAAAAAACAUUCAGGCAUGUCACAGAAUGUAAAAUCGUUCAAGAGUGAAAACGAAAACGGUUUUAGCUUCUCUAAAAAACGGAAAACGCAAAAAUUUUGCGUUUUGAUAUCACUUUCAAAAAGCAGGGUGAAAUUGAAAUGUUUAGUGAUUUUAACACACAUACAUUUAACAGAAAAUAUUGUAUUAACCAAAUUCACUUAGAAUGAACAUGUUUUUGGAAUUUAUUUUACAAAAAAUCUAUUAUUUUUCUAAUCCAUGAUGAAAACGCAAAAACAUAUGCAGAAAUGAACGGCAGACUUGUAUUGACUUUCUUAAUUUGAUCCAAUGUGGCCAAAUUUCAGCUUCAAUUGCAUUAAUAACUCUCCACAUAAUUGUAGAAACUGUACUUCUCCCAAGGCUUAGCUCCACAUCUCUACCUAUAACUCCUUGAAAUGCACCCGUAGCCAAAAACCUAAGCGUUGUUGCAAGCUGGAUAAUAGCCGGUAUAUUGGAACGUUUGAGGUAGGGAGAAAUUUUUUCCAAAACUAAAACAAAAGCUUCUUUAUUUAGCCGAUAAUAAGUUAUAAAUCUGUAGAAAUAAAUUAUUAUUAAAAUAAAUUUGAAAAUAACUCAUUGCUGGUGGAUCCUUACUCUGCAUUUGAGUGAGAUAAAGGA